This 1302-nucleotide ribosomal RNA is filed under the name metagenome. RNAcentral describes it as "bacterial LSU rRNA". It matches the Rfam family "Bacterial large subunit ribosomal RNA", at positions 1635 to 2925 of the family's 2925-position model. The record is from RNAcentral.
UACACGACCGUACCGCAAACCGACACUGGUGCGCGAGAUGAGUAUUCUAAGGCGCUUGAGAGAACUCAGGAGAAGGAACUCGGCAAAUUGACACCGUAACUUCGGAAGAAGGUGUGCCUUUAGUAGGUGAAGUCCCUCGCGGAUGGAGCCCAAUGAGGUUGCAAUAAAUCGGUGGCUGCGACUGUUUAUUAAAAACACAGCACUCUGCAAACACGAAAGUGGACGUAUAGGGUGUGACGCCUGCCCGGUGCUGGAAGAUUAAAUGAUGGGGUGCAAGCUCUUGAUUGAAGUCCCAGUAAACGGCGGCCGUAACGAUAACGGUCCUAAGGUAGCGAAGUUCCUUGUCGGGUAAGUUCCGACCUGCACGAAUGGCGUAACGAUGGCCACACUGUCUCCUCCUGAGACUCAGCGAAGUUGAAAUGUUUGUGAUGAUGCAAUCUCCCCGCGGAAAGACGGAAAGACCCCAUGAACCUUUACUGUAGCUUUGUAUUGGACUUUGAACGGAUCUGUGUAGGAUAGGUGGGAGGCUUUGAAGCAGGGUCGCUAGAUCUUGUGGAGCCAACGUUGAAAUACCACCCUGGUGUGUUUGAGGUUCUAACCUAGGCCCGUAAUCCGGGUUGGGGACAGUGCAUGGUAGGCAGUUUGACUGGGGCGGUCUCCUCCCAAAGUGUAACGGAGGAGUUCGAAGGUACGCUAGUUACGGUCGGACAUCGUGACGAUAGUGCAAUGGCAUAAGCGUGCUUAACUGCGAGACUGACAAGUCGAGCAGAUGCGAAAGCAGGACAUAGUGAUCCGGUGGUUCUGUAUGGAAGGGCCAUCGCUCAACGGAUAAAAGGUACUCUGGGGAUAACAGGCUGAUACCGCCCAAGAGUUCAUAUCGACGGCGGUGUUUGGCACCUCGAUGUCGGCUCAUCUCAUCCUGGGGCUGUAGCCGGUCCCAAGGGUAUGGCUGUUCGCCAUUUAAAGAGGUACGUGAGCUGGGUUUAAAACGUCGUGAGACAGUUUGGUCCCUAUCUUCCGUGGGCGCUGCAGAUUUGAGGAAGCCUGCUCCUAGUACGAGAGGACCGGAGUGGACGCACCUCUGGUGUAUCGGUUGUCACGCCAGUGGCAUUGCCGAGUAGCUAUGUGCGGAAGAGAUAACCGCUGAAGGCAUCUAAGCGGGAAACUCGUUUCAAGAUGAGAUCUGCCGGGGCCUUGAGCCCCCUGAAGAGUCGUUCAAGACCAGGACGUUGAUAGGUCGGGUGUGGAAGCGCAGUAAUGCGUUAAGCUAACCGAUACUAAUUGCUCGUGCGGCUUGACCCA